RNAcentral lists this ribosomal RNA (1502 nucleotides) under Minisyncoccota bacterium. RNAcentral's name for it is "bacterial SSU rRNA". It matches the Rfam family "Bacterial small subunit ribosomal RNA". The record is from RNAcentral. Lineage: Bacteria; Bacillati; Minisyncoccota.
CUUUAGUAGAGUUUGAUCCUAGCUCAGGAUGAACGCUGGCGGCGUGGAUAAGGCAUGCAAGUCAAACGGUUCUUAUAUUUAUAUAUGAACAGUGGCAAACGGGGUAGUAACACGUGGGAACGUACCUAGAAGUCGUGAACAACCCAUCGAAAGGUGGGCUAAUACACGAUGGUCUCGAAAGAGUAAAGAUUUAUCGCUUCUAGAACGGCCUGCGAGGUAUCAGUUAGUUGGUAGGGUAACGGCCUACCAAGACGAUGACGCCUAGGGGAGCUGAGAGGCUGACCCCCACCAUUGGAACUGCGACACGGUCCAAACACCUACGGGUGGCUGCAGUCAAGAAACUUCCCCAAUGCACGAAAGUGUGAGGGAGCGACGCCGCGUGGUUGAUGAAGCCCUUCGGGGUGUAAAAACCUUUUAUGUGUGAGAAAGUAAUUGAUGUUAGCACAUGAAUAAGAGGCUGCUAACUCUGUGCCAGCAGCAGCGGUAAUACAGAGGCCUCAAGCGUUAUCCGGAAUCACUGGGCGUAAAGGGUGCGUAGGUGGCGUUGUUAGUCGUAUGUCAAAGACCCGGGCUCAACCCGGGGGCGGCAUACGAAACGGCAAUGCUUGAAUAUGUGAGAGGUGUGCGGAACUCUAGGUGUAGGGGUGAAAUCCGUUGAUAUCUAGGGGAACACCAAAUGCGAAGGCAGCACACUGGCACAUUAUUGACACUGAGGCACGAAAGCGUGGGUAGCGAAUGGGAUUAGAUACCCCAGUAGUCCAUGCCCUAAACGAUGUUCAUUAGCUAUACGGAGUAUCGACCCUCUGUGUGGCGUAGCUAACGCGUUAAAUGAACCGCCUGGGAAAUACGAUCGCAAGAUUAAAACUCAAAGGAAUAGACGGGGACUCGCACAAGCGGUGGAUCAUGUGGUUUAAUUCGAUGAUAAACGAAGAACCUUACCAGGGUUUGAAACUGAACUGAAAGCUCCAAGAAACUGGAGCCCUCGCAAGACUGUUCAGCAGGUGAUGCAUGGUCGUCGUCAGCUCGUGGCUUGAGUUGUUCCCUUAAGUGGGGAAACGAGCGAAACCCUCAUCGUGUGUUACAAGUGUCACACGAGACUGCCCAGCCCUUUGAAUGCAAACGAAAGUUUGUUAGCAGAGGGCUGGGAGGAAGGGGAGGAUGACGCCAGAUCAGCAUGUCCCUUUGAUACCCUGGGCUACACACGUGAUACAAUGGCUACUACAGUGGGAUGCAAGACAGCAAUGUGGAGCAAAUCCAUAAAAGUAGCCCCAGUUCGGAUUGGAGUCUGAAACUCGACUCCAUGAAGUUGGAAUCGCUAGUAAUCGCAGGUCAGCUAUACUGCGGUGAAUACGUUCUCGAGUCUUGUACUCACCGCCCGUCAAGUCAAGGGAGCCGGUAGCACCCGAAGUCUGCGCAUCGCGUGGCCUAAGGUGAGAUUGGUAACAGGGACUAAGUCGUAACAAGGCACGGGUAGCGGAAGCUGUUCGUGGAACAAUUCAAGU